AAAUAAACUAUGAGAAGAAAAGUAGAUUUAAUCAACCUACCCAGAGAAGCUAUGUUUGGUGAAAAUAGCCUAGUGAGAUUAGAUUGAAAAUGGCCUUUGAGUUUCUUAUCCGAUAUUUAAGAUAAGACGGGCUCGCCCGUUACAGCGAUAGGGUAUGUCAGUACCCGAUGAGUUAUUAAUUGUGAAAUUAAUUUGAAAUUAAGGUGGUAACACGUGGCAAAGCCUCGUCCUUUAU
RNAcentral lists this non-coding RNA (235 nucleotides) under Anaerococcus lactolyticus. RNAcentral's name for it is "T-box sequence". It matches the Rfam family "T-box leader". Rfam says of the family: Uncharged tRNA acts as the effector for transcription antitermination of genes in the T-box leader family. T-boxes are found upstream of many aminoacyl-tRNA synthetase genes and some amino acid biosynthetic genes usually in Gram-positive bacteria. Lineage: Bacteria; Bacillati; Bacillota; Tissierellia; Tissierellales; Peptoniphilaceae. The record is from RNAcentral.